AGGGUAUCCGCAAGGGUAACCGGCAAAAUGCUUAGUAGCACGUCAGUAAUCUGCCCACAAGUCUGGGAUAGCCUUGGGAAACUGAGGGUAAACCCGGAUAAUGAAUAUCAUCUGGAAUGAGGUAUUCGUCAAAAGCAAUGCUUGUGGAUGAGCUGGCGGCUGAUUAGGUAGUUGGUAGGGUAAUGGCCUACCAAGCCAAUGAUCAGUAGGGGCCAUGAAAGUGGGAGCCCCAAGAAGGACACUGAGAUACUGGUCCUAGCCCCACGGGGUGCAGCAGGCGCGAAAACUUUACAAUGCACGAAAGUGUGAUAGGGGAACUCAGCGUGCUCAUGGAAACCAUGGGCUUUUCUCUAGAGUAAAUAUCUAGGGGAAUAAAGGAUGGGCAAGACCGGUGCCAGCAGCCGCGGUAACACCGGCGUCCUGAGUGGGAAUCAUUUAUUGGGUCUAAAGCGCUCGUAGUUGGCUUUGUAAAUUUCUUGUGAAAUCGUGUCGCUUAACGGCACGGCGUGCAGGAAACACUGCAAAGCUUGGGACUGGGAGGCGUCAGAAGUAUUCCUUAGGGAGCGGUAAAAUGUGAUAAUCUAAGGAGGACUACCUGUGGCGAAGGCGUCUGACGAGAACAGGUUCGACAAUCAGGAGCGAAGGCUAGGGGAGCAAACCGGAUUAGAUACCCGAGUAGUCCUAGCAGUAAACACUGUGUGCAAGGUGUUGCGUCUACAAUAGGUAGACGCAGUAUCGAAGCGAAGGCAAUAAGCACACCACCUGGGAAGUACGGUCGCAAGACUGAAACUUAAAGGAAUUGGCGGGGGAGCACUACAACGGGUGCGGCGUGCGGUUUAAUCCUUCAACAAGGAGAAUCUCACCAGAAGCGACGGCAGUAUGAAGGUCAAGCUGAAGACUUUACCUGACGAGCCGAGAGGUAGUGCAUGGCCGUCGUCAGCUCGUGCCGUAAGGUGUCCUGUUAAGUCAGGCAACGAGCGAGACCCACAUCUACAAUUGACAGCAGGUCCUCCGGGAUGACUGGUCACAUUGUAGAGACUGCCUGUGAAAACAGGAGGAGGGUGUGGGCAACGGUAGGUCUGUAUGCUCCGAAUCUUCUGGGCUACACGCGCGCAACAAUGGGUAAGACAAUGGGAUGCUACUCCGAAAGGAGACGCUAAGCCUCUAAACUUACUCCUAGUACAGAUUGAGGGUUGUAACUCACCCUCAUGACGAUGGAAUCCGUAGUAAUCAGAGUUUAUCAGACUCCGGUGAAUACGUCCCUGCUCCUUGCACACACCGCCCGUCAAACCAUUCGAGUAGAAUUUAAGUGAGCCGCAGUUUUUUGAUUGCGUCAAACUUAAGUUUUAUAAGACGGGUUAAGUCGUCACAAGGUA
Molecule: ribosomal RNA, 1376 nt
Filed under: metagenome
Description: bacterial SSU rRNA
Rfam family: Archaeal small subunit ribosomal RNA
Source: RNAcentral